AUACCUCAGUAACGGCGAAGUGAAGCGGUAACAGCUCAAAUUUGAAAUCUGGGUCUUUCAGGCUUUUUGUUGUAAUUUGUAGAAGAUGCUUCGGGUGCGGCACCGGUCUAAGUUCCUUGGAACAGGACGUCACAGAGGGUGAGAAUCCCGUAUGUGAUCGGCUGCCUGCGCCUAUGUGAAGCUCUUUCGACGAGUCGAGUUGUUUGGGAAUGCAGCUCUAAAUGGGUGGUAAAUUUCAUCUAAAGCUAAAUAUUGGGCCAGAGACCGAUAGCGCACAAGUAGAGUGAUCGAAAGAUGAAAAGCACUUUGGAAAGAGAGUUAAACAGUACGUGAAAUUGUUGAAAGGGAAGCGCUUGCGACCAGACUUGCGCGGGGUUGAUCAUCCGGGGGUUCUCCCCGGUGCACUCGACCUCGCUCAGGCCAGCAUCGGUUUCGGUGGUUGGAUAAAGGCCUUGGGAAUGUAGCUUCUUUCGGGGAGUGUUAUAGCCCUCGGUGCAAUGCAGCCUACCGGGACCGAGGACCGCGCUUCGGCUAGGAUGCUGGCGUAAUGGUCGUAAGCGACCCGUCUUGAAACACGGACCAAGGAGUCUAACAUCUAUGCGAGUGUUUGGGUGUCAAACCCAUACGCGGAAUGAAAGUGAACGGAGGUGAGAACCCUUAAGGGUGCAUCACCGACCGGUCCUGAUGUCUUCGGAUGGAUCUGAGUAAGAGCAUAGCUGUUGGGACCCGAAAGAUGGUGAACUAUGCCUGAAUAGGGUGAAGCCAGAGGAAACUCUGGUGGAGGCUCGCAGCGGUUCUGACGUGCAAAUCGAUCGUCAAAUUUGGGUAUAGGGGCGAAAGACUAAUCGAACCAUUGUUGCUAGGUGGUUAAGAGGGGGGCCGAGAGAGCCCUCUAGUCCCUCGCCGGGGCGACACUGUCAAAUUGUUCGGGGACUACCCGUGAAGUUUUAAGCUACCGCAGCCGGAUCGAAAGAUAGGCGCGCACCGGGCUAAUAACCUUGGGGAUGGUAAUAAUGCUUAGAUAGGGUACACCCGCAGCGAAGACCUACGGGCACGUUAGUGCCUAUGGAUAACGUUCACAGACUAGACGGCAGUGGGCCUGAUAUAGGCUUAAGAUAUAGUCGGUCCCCUCAGAGAUGAGGUGGGUAGCUAAAGGCUAUAGGGGGCGACCUGGGGCGACCCAGGACCCUGUAGCCCCGAGCUACCCAGGAGCACACGCUCUGGGGCACGGGUGGUCCGCCACCGUGC
Molecule: ribosomal RNA, 1248 nt
Filed under: Dermea hamamelidis
Lineage: Eukaryota; Fungi; Ascomycota; Leotiomycetes; Helotiales; Dermateaceae
Description: LSU rRNA
Rfam family: Eukaryotic large subunit ribosomal RNA
Source: RNAcentral